GUAGAGUGGCGGACUGGUGAGUAACNCGUGGGUGACGUACCCUUUAGCUGGGGAUAGCCGGUAGAAAUACCGGGUAAUACCGAAUAAUCUUGCUUCUUUGAAGUGAAGUAAGGAAAGGAGCUUCGGCUUCACUGAAGGAACGGCCCGCGCACUAUUAGCUAGUUGGUGAGGUACGGCUCACCAAGGCAACGAUAGUUAUCCGGCCUAAGAGGGUGAACGGACACAUUGGGACUGAGAUACGGCCCAGACUCCUACGGGAGGCAGCAGCUAAGAAUAUUCCGCAAUGGAGGAAACUCUGACGGAGCGACGCCGCGUGGAUGAUGAAGGUCGGAAGAUUGUAAAAUCCUUUUAAGUAUGAUGAAUAACCUGAUCAGGAAAUGGGACAGGGAUGACCGUAAUACUUGAAUAAGCAACGGCUAAUUACGUG
Molecule: ribosomal RNA, 427 nt
Filed under: uncultured bacterium
Lineage: Bacteria
Description: bacterial SSU rRNA
Rfam family: Bacterial small subunit ribosomal RNA
Source: RNAcentral